This 464-nucleotide ribosomal RNA is filed under the name Burkholderia sp. oral taxon 406. Its description in RNAcentral is "bacterial SSU rRNA". It matches the Rfam family "Bacterial small subunit ribosomal RNA", at positions 30 to 482 of the family's 1533-position model. The record is from RNAcentral. Lineage: Bacteria; Pseudomonadati; Pseudomonadota; Betaproteobacteria; Burkholderiales; Burkholderiaceae.
AUUGAACGCUGGCGGCAUGCCUUACACAUGCAAGUCGAACGGCAGCAUGAUCUAGCUUGCUAGAUUGAUGGCGAGUGGCGAACGGGUGAGUAAUACAUCGGAACGUGCCCUGUAGUGGGGGAUAACUAGUCGAAAGAUUAGCUAAUACCGCAUACGACCUGAGGGUGAAAGUGGGGGACCGCAAGGCCUCAUGCUAUAGGAGCGGCCGAUGUCUGAUUAGCUAGUUGGUGAGGUAAAGGCUCACCAAGGCGACGAUCAGUAGCUGGUCUGAGAGGACGAUCAGCCACACUGGGACUGAGACACGGCCCAGACUCCUACGGGAGGCAGCAGUGGGGAAUUUUGGACAAUGGGGGCAACCCUGAUCCAGCAAUGCCGCGUGUGUGAAGAAGGCCUUCGGGUUGUAAAGCACUUUUGUCCGGAAAGAAAUCGCACUUACUAAUAUUAGGUGUGGAUGACGUACCGGA